CUGUGAUGCCCUUAGAUGUUCUGGGCCGCACGCGCGUUACACUGACAGAGGCAGCGAGUACUUCCUUAGUAGAGAUACUUGGGUAAUCUUGUGAAACUCU
This 100-nucleotide ribosomal RNA is filed under the name Xylaria polymorpha. RNAcentral's name for it is "partial small subunit ribosomal RNA". It matches the Rfam family "Eukaryotic small subunit ribosomal RNA", at positions 1462 to 1563 of the family's 1831-position model. The record is from RNAcentral. Lineage: Eukaryota; Fungi; Ascomycota; Sordariomycetes; Xylariales; Xylariaceae.